AACGCUGGCGGCGUGCAUAACACAUGCAAGUGGAGCGACCGGUGAAACCUUUGGGUUUCAACUUAAACUGGGAGCCGCGAACGGGUGAGUAACACGUGGGCAAUCUGCCCCGUCGAUUGGGAUAGCCCGGGGAAACCCGGAUUAAUACCGAAUGUGAUUGCUGGUCGAUUGGACCGGUACGGAAAGGAAGCUUCUUUUAUAGCCUCCGCGACGGGAUGAGCCCGCGACCGAUUAGCUUGUUGGUAAGGUAACGGCUUACCAAGGCGACGAUCGGUAGCUGGUCUGAGAGGACGAUCAGCCACACUGGGACUGAGACACGGCCCAGACUUCUACGGGAGGCUGCAGUGGGGAAUCUUGCGCAAUGAGCGAAAGCUUGACGCAGCAACGCCGCGUGAGGGAAGACGGCCUUCGGGUUGUAAACCUCUUUCAGGGAAGAGUAAGGCUCGUGAGUUAAGAGCUCACCGGGUUGAAAGUAUUCCCAGAAGAAGCACCGGCUAACUACGUGCCAGCAGCCGCCGUAA
RNAcentral lists this ribosomal RNA (521 nucleotides) under uncultured bacterium. RNAcentral describes it as "partial 16S ribosomal RNA". It matches the Rfam family "Bacterial small subunit ribosomal RNA", at positions 32 to 523 of the family's 1533-position model. The record is from RNAcentral.